Molecule: long non-coding RNA, 742 nt
Filed under: Phoenix dactylifera (date palm)
Lineage: Eukaryota; Viridiplantae; Streptophyta; Magnoliopsida; Arecales; Arecaceae
Description: long non-coding RNA (PDAC_LNC018720)
Source: RNAcentral
AUUCAUUAGUAAUCACAAGAUAUACUCAAAUGCUUUGAGCUCAUCAAAAUCAAAUGGGGUUUUAAUCAAUCACUCCACACAUAGGAUCAGUUGCACAACUCCCACUAAGAGAAUCAUCUUUUGACAUGUAAAUAAGACUUCAUAAGAUUUCUCUUUGCAGAUCAUUUCAGUGAACUCAUUCCUCUAAUUAGCACCCACAUCUUUGUAUUAGUGUCUCCACACAAGUGAUUGUGAGAUCAAUCACUCUCUGCAUCGAGCAUAUAUAAGAUGUGCCAGUCUUGCCGGUAACAUUGAUCCCCGACUCAAUGUACCAACGACUGGAAAUACUUAAGAUUAGGAUUUUAGGAUUUUAGGUCUCACUAGUAUGAUCUCAUCAUAGCCCUAAAACCAUUGUCCUAAUCUAAGGGGUUCAUCACAAAUAUAAGAAACAGCAUAUGAUGAAACAUAAUGCCUUUAUUCAUAAUUAAAUGUCACAUACAUGAUUUAGAAAAUCAAAAGAAAAUCCUUCUGAUUGAGUCACCUAAUUUUCUUUCCACAUAAUCUAAUUCUCCUAUUUUAAUCUCAAAAACAAUAAAACCCCUUCAAUUAUUUGUCUCUCAGAUCUCAAAGCAUAUCAUCAUAUUUGCACGAAUCCCAAAGCUCCAUCCACUCCUCCACUUUUCUCUACCAAACAACCCGCUCUCAUCCUAGCUUCGAACUUUAUCCUCCCGAGUCCCAAACUUCAUCAUCUCCCAACCGUAUC